Long non-coding RNA from Bufo gargarizans (Asiatic toad), 583 nucleotides. RefSeq lists it as uncharacterized. The record is from RefSeq and is a predicted model, not a curated record. The transcript is spliced from 2 exons. NCBI's taxonomy places the organism in Eukaryota, Metazoa, Chordata, Amphibia, Anura, Bufonidae.
GCGCGGGAUUUCGCCUCUCCCCGAUCCCUGUAAUGUGCCCAGGCAGGAAAGAAGGAGAGGGAGGCCCUGGACCUCCUGAACACCGCCAGGAAGUUCCGGCGUGCCAGCCACACCUCACAGUACCGCCGGGACUGCACCUGAACACCAUCCCGAAAAGAUUUCCAGGACCCAGAAGGCAGGAUCCAGACUUACCCGGCGGCUACUAGAGGAGGCUUAUGCCGAACCAGAUGUAUUUAUUCUAUUUCCUGAACGUGAUUAUGGGGGCAGCCAUCUUGCCUGAGCUGUUCAUAACAGCAUUUGGAAAGCAUUAAGAAAAUUACUUUACGGCAGCCCCGUGGGCCAUAUACACAAUGGACAGGACGGGACCUCAUUGACUUCUAUGGGAGAGUUUUCAAGGCGUGCUCUGUGACCUGUGCAGAGAUCAUUAUACAAGGAAAUAAUAGAUAAGCUCUGACAACUGUAACACCCCAGAGUUGUGUUAAGACACUCUUCUACCCCGCUACAAUCUGUUAAGAGCCUUGUCAUCUGUUAUGGUUUUACAUAAUGUCUUCACAACUGUGCAUUAUAAACCAUGUUAAAUGUA